RNAcentral lists this ribosomal RNA (398 nucleotides) under uncultured bacterium. RNAcentral's name for it is "bacterial SSU rRNA". It matches the Rfam family "Bacterial small subunit ribosomal RNA", at positions 362 to 776 of the family's 1533-position model. The record is from RNAcentral.
UAUUGCACAAUGGGGGAAACCCUGAUGCAGCAACGCCGCGUGAGUGAUUGAAGUAUUUCGGUAUGUAAAACUCUAUCAGCAGGGAAGAAGAUGACGGUACCUGAUUAAGAAGCCCCGGCUAACUACGUGCCAGCAGCCGCGGUAAUCCGUAGGGGGCAAGCGUUAUCCGGAAUUACUGGGUGUAAAGGGAGCGUAGACGGUAAUGUAAGUCUGGAGUGAAAGGCGGGGGCCCAACCCCCGGACUGCUCUGGAAACUAUGUUACUAGAGUGCAGGAGAGGUAAGCGGAAUUCCUAGUGUAGCGGUGAAAUGCGUAGAUAUUAGGAGGAACACCAGUGGCGAAGGCGGCUUACUGGACUGUAACUGACGUUGAGGCUCGAAAGCGUGGGGAGCAAACAGG